RNAcentral lists this long non-coding RNA (1532 nucleotides) under Sus scrofa (pig). Its description in RNAcentral is "lncRNA (ENSSSCG00060075687.1)". Lineage: Eukaryota; Metazoa; Chordata; Mammalia; Artiodactyla; Suidae. The record is from RNAcentral.
AUGCAGCAGAAGCCCUGUUUCGUUACCCACAGAAGCUGGAAGGAUUCCUUUUUUUAUGCAACCCUCUGUCUCAUGAACACCAAAAUGCUGCCUUCUACCCCACUGUCUAACAGAACUUUGGAUGAAACAGGCUCUUGAAGUCCAUCACCAGACGUGCCUACAUUCCAGCAGUAAAUGUCACUUUUCUGGUUUCUAUAAGAGCUCUUUGAGGUGGUUCUCCAUUGUCCAGCUUGGAGGCCAGAGUGGUUUGGUCAAUAGCCAGGAAGCUGGAAUUCUGCCAAAAGAGUUCAGGGAACGUAGAUCUUCACUGUUGUUGAGCGAAGGCAGUGGAAACGGAGCUUUUCGGUUUAUGGAAGAACAUCAGCACAUUCUCCUCAGUAGGAUGCCAGACUCCAGGUCUCUGUGGAAGGUCAGCUCAGCUCCUUGUCUAGAUGCAACACUGUCCAAAGAAAAAGACAGCAGGAAUUUGAAACAGUUUUCAAGACAGCGAUUGAACAUGUACACAGUGAGAAGUGAAAAGGUGGUUCCCUAGCUCCUUUCCUCAGUAAGGUAUAUGUUUGUUUAUAAAGGUAUGAGGCUCGUUUGGUGGGGUGUGUGUGUGGGGGGGGGCAGUGAUUAAUUCUUCCACCUCCCAGGGAAAAAAAAAAAGUUCAGGCCUUGGCCUAAACGAGAAAAAUCAAAAUAGAGCAAUGCUAGUUUCACGGGAACCUCAAGACUAUCCUCCAACUGCAGUUGCCGCCUUUAAGAAAGUUUUUUUUUUUUUUCUGUUUUUUUGUAAUGAUUUUUAUUUUUUGCAUUACAGCUGGUUUACAGUGUUCUGUCAACUUUCUACUGUACGGCAAGGUGACCCAGUUACACAUACAUGUAUAUAUUCUUUUUUCUCACAUUAUCAUGCUCCAUCAUAAGUGACUAGAUAUAGUUCCCAGUGGUACACAGCAGGAUCCCAUUGCUCAUCUAUUCAAAAGGCAACAGUUUGCUUCCAAAGGCAAUAGUUUGCAGAAAGUUUAAUACCCAUUUAUCUAUUACCAAACGAGUAGACUGAAUUUCCUCCCUUAGGAAGUCUUCAACCAAAUGAAAGUUAAAUUAAUCUCACUUUAAAGUGCAACAAAGGAUAUAGGACCAGUGUUUUGUUCAGUGACACAUAAAAGAGAAGCAUCCCUCCAACAGCACUGGCCUAAGAGCUACUGCACUAGAUACUGGCCACAGAACCACGUGAUCCUCAGCAUCUUCCUAAAAGCACAGACUCCAGUUUCAGCGCAGAAAAGAGGAUCCCUUCCAAGUCUGCCUCUUAAGUGUACCCAGACCUCAACAGAUCUUGGGUCCCCCUCACUGAUGAGACUGGAGCACAAAGCGCCAGCACAGCCAGGAAGGCCAAAGUCAUCCACCCUAGUCAGUGAAGGCCCCCAUGUGUCCAUGCUCGUGUGGAGAGUGGCAAAGGAAUCAAGAAGCCUUGGUUUUGGACCAACACAAACAUCAUUUGUUCUGUGUUUAUAAAUGAUACCAAAAAUAAGUAAUGAGGUCCCCGUACACCU